UACGUAGGGUGCAAGCGUUAAUCGGAAUUACUGGGCGUAAAGCGUGCGCAGGCGGUUUGUAAGUUUGUCGUGAAAGCCCCGGGCUCAACCUGGGAAUUGCGAUGAAGACUGCAAGGCUUGAAUCUGGCAGAGGGGGGUAGAAUUCCACGUGUAGCAGUGAAAUGCGUAGAGAUGUGGAGGAAUACCGAUGGCGAAGGCAGCCCCCUGGGAUAACACUGACGCCUCAUGCACGAAAGCGUGGGAGCAAACAGG
Molecule: ribosomal RNA, 252 nt
Filed under: uncultured bacterium
Lineage: Bacteria
Description: partial 16S ribosomal RNA
Rfam family: Bacterial small subunit ribosomal RNA
Source: RNAcentral